This is a long non-coding RNA of Cephus cinctus (wheat stem sawfly), 1454 nucleotides long. RefSeq lists it as uncharacterized. The record is from RefSeq and is a predicted model, not a curated record. The transcript is spliced from 2 exons. NCBI's taxonomy places the organism in Eukaryota, Metazoa, Arthropoda, Insecta, Hymenoptera, Cephidae.
ACAAAAAAAAAACGAAAUUAAGGAGGAAAUAAAAAUUGUACCAGGAAGCCCAUAUUCUCGAUUGCCGCUGUCGCCUUGUCCAAGUAAUUCAGAUUCCAGUGGAUCAGAAUGGCUACAUGAAGCAUUAAUUUCUACAUCUGCAAAUCUAAAGGGCUUACCGAAUCUCGAGAAGAACCAGCGAGGGAUUAUCGAUGUGGGAGGAAUGAGGACGAAAAGCUGAGUAACGUCAGGGUUCCAGCGGGGCCCUAGCUGCUCGCGCUGUCGCUUACCGCAUCAAUCACCUCGCGACUAGGACCACCUCUACGCAUGAUAUCACCCGAGCUACAUGAAUUGGUCAACGCCUACCGAGUAACUAGCAGGGAGCUAUUACUUAUCCUGCGUGACAGAGACCUACGAACUACAGAGCAAUGGUUGAGUGUUUGAUUUCCGAAAUACGUUGUAUUGAGUUCAAGUUAGGAACGUGUUGCCGAGAUACAAGAAGAGGUCGUUGAGGCUGUAUUUUGGAUGUGUCGCGAUUGUAGCCUACGACAGUGCCUCCGUUCGGCCGAGAAGCCGCCUGACCAUCCUCGUCCGUCAGGCCCACAGGAUCACCGCUCAUCUCCGCUCGGCUGAUUUCGCCGCUGUGCGUCGAAGCUCGGGAAAGCUCGGCCACCUCCGUCAACGUUCGUUUCGUUCCGGCGCCGUUUUUGCCUCAUCUGGGCACGCUUGCCCACGAUCGUCGAUCGAUAAAUCAUUGUCAUACAAAGCUUUGUAUCCGCCGAACGUGCCAAAAUUGUGAGAGAGAGAGAGAGGGAGAGAGAGGAAAAGAGAUAGAGAGAUCGACCGCUUUUGUUGCCGCCUUUUCCUGCUUUCUACCUUUCUAUUGAGCUAUUGCUUUAUUUUCUUUGGCAAAAUCUUUCGUUUUUCUUAAUAUUCUCUGCUUUUCUGAUUGAAGAUUAUAGGACACGUGCACGGCUAAACCGUCCGUUUAGCCAGUGGCUAGUUUCCUUUGCCGUUAUCAGGCGAAUGUCCUUCCGCCUAAUCUAGUAUAAAAGAAGGAUAGUGCCGUUAAAGUUUUAUAUUUUUGAGUUUCCGGUUUUGCGCUUUUCUCAUAUGAUUUGUGAUUUCCAUUUUUCUGUAAUUAACGAAUUUUUUGUGGAAUCUUCGUCUAGUGUACGCGGUCGAAUCUGCCUGCCAGAGCAUUUGUCCCUGGGUUGACCGGCUUUAUUGUUCAACAGCCAAAUUAUCUUGCUGUCUAUUUAUAUUUUGCCGAUUAUUAUAAGAUAUCGUUUACUGAAAAAUUACUAUCUUUUCAAGACUGUAUAUUACCUUGAGAUUUCCAAACCUGUUAGUUCAGUUGAAUUUCGUCGCGAGCUCACACCUAUUAUUAGUCCGAAUAUGUGGAAACUUUACUGUUCUUUAUCUAUCUUUUCUUUUGAACUGUUAUAAGCUGAUUAAAAUUCUCUUUUUUGUGC